GUGUGGCUCAGUGGUAGAGUACUUGCCUAGCAUGCACAAGGUCCUGGGUUCAAUCCCAGCACA
RNAcentral lists this transfer RNA (63 nucleotides) under Marmota monax (woodchuck). RNAcentral's name for it is "tRNA.Ala". It matches the Rfam family "tRNA", at positions 5 to 66 of the family's 71-position model. From Rfam's summary of the family: Transfer RNA (tRNA) molecules are approximately 80 nucleotides in length. Their secondary structure includes four short double-helical elements and three loops (D, anti-codon, and T loops). Further hydrogen bonds mediate the characteristic L-shaped molecular structure. tRNAs have two regions of fundamental functional importance: the anti-codon, which is responsible for specific mRNA codon recognition, and the 3' end, to which the tRNAs corresponding amino acid is attached (by aminoacyl-tRNA synthetases). tRNAs cope with the degeneracy of the genetic code in two manners: having more than one tRNA (with a specific anti-codon) for a particular amino acid; and 'wobble' base-pairing, i.e. permitting non-standard base-pairing at the 3rd anti-codon position. Lineage: Eukaryota; Metazoa; Chordata; Mammalia; Rodentia; Sciuridae. The record is from RNAcentral.